This 301-nucleotide ribosomal RNA is filed under the name uncultured bacterium. Its description in RNAcentral is "partial 16S ribosomal RNA". It matches the Rfam family "Bacterial small subunit ribosomal RNA", at positions 509 to 807 of the family's 1533-position model. The record is from RNAcentral.
CAGCAGCCACGGGAAUACGUAGGGUCCGAGCGUUGUCCGGAAUUAUUGGGCGUAAAGGGCUCGUAGGCGGUUUGUUGCGUCGGGAGUGAAAACCCAGGGCUUAACUUUGGGCUUGCUUUCGAUACGGGCAGACUUGAGGCAUUGAGGGGAGAACGGAAUUCCUGGUGUAGCGGUGAAAUGCGCAGAUAUCAGGAGGAACACCGGUGGCGAAGGCGGUUCUCUGGCAAUGUUCUGACGCUGAGGAGCGAAAGUGUGGGGAGCGAACAGGAUUAGAUACCCCUGUAGUCCCUGUCUCUUAUAC